Molecule: ribosomal RNA, 121 nt
Filed under: Ophiocordyceps sinensis
Lineage: Eukaryota; Fungi; Ascomycota; Sordariomycetes; Hypocreales; Ophiocordycipitaceae
Also listed under: 1 other name
Source: RNAcentral
ACAUACGGCCACAGUAUCUUGAAAACUGUCGAUCCCGUCCGAUCUCGGUCUAUAUAAGCAAGAUGACGGCAGAUUAGUAGUUGGGUCGGUGACGACCAGCGAACACCGGCUGCUGUAUGUU